CUGAGGGUAAGUUAAUAAAACUAAAGGUUUGUGGAGCCUUAAAUAUAUUUAUAUUCUUCAGU
This 62-nucleotide transfer RNA is filed under the name Meghimatium bilineatum. RNAcentral's name for it is "tRNA-His". The record is from RNAcentral. Lineage: Eukaryota; Metazoa; Mollusca; Gastropoda; Stylommatophora; Philomycidae.